AUUGAACGCUGGCGGCAGGCUUAACACAUGCAAGUAGAGCGGAGUGAUGGUGCUUGCACUAUCACUUAGCGGCGGACGGGUGAGUAAUGCUUAGGAAUCUGCCUAUUAGUGGGGGACAACAUCUCGAAAGGGAUGCUAAUACCGCAUACGUCCUACGGGAGAAAGCAGGGGAUCACUUGUGACCUUGCGCUAAUAGAUGAGCCUAAGUCGGAUUAGCUAGUUGGUGGGGUAAAGGCCUACCAAGGCGAAGAUCUGUAGCGGGUGUGAGAGGAUGAACCGCCACACUGGGAAUGAGGCACGGCCCAGACCCCUACAGGAAGAAGCAGUGGGGAAUAUUGGACAAUGGGGGGAAACCUGAUCCAGCCAUGCCGCGGGUUUUAAGAAGGCCUUAUGGUUUUAAAGCAAUUUAAGCGAGGAGGAGGCUCUUUUGGUUAAAACCCAAGAUGAGUGGACGUUACUCGCAGAAUAAGCACCGGCUAACUCUGUGCCAGCAGCCGCCGUAA
RNAcentral lists this ribosomal RNA (503 nucleotides) under uncultured bacterium. Its description in RNAcentral is "partial 16S ribosomal RNA". It matches the Rfam family "Bacterial small subunit ribosomal RNA", at positions 30 to 523 of the family's 1533-position model. The record is from RNAcentral.